AGAAUUCCAAGAAAUUAAAUUCGCAGAAGUUCUCAUUCCCUCGUACUGAUGAGCUGGAAUUCCCAUCACCCUCUCAAGUGGACCCCACAAUUCCUGAUCUACCUCCCGUCCCUAAGAUCCCUUAUCUUCCACCGCUGCCACAACUCCCUCCUCUCCCUCCCAUCCCAAUUGGUGUCCCAGGACUCCCAGGACUUCCUGGAAUUCCAGGUUCGCCCCCUGUUGCUGUAAAAACUUCAUCUGUGUCCUCCAACUCCAAAACUUCAAAGAAUGAGCAACUAGGUGAUAAUAAAGAAGUAGCGCAUCCAGAUACUAUAUUUCCACCUUUAUUUCCACCAAUUAUCCCUAAUCCAUUUCAGCCCCCUCCACUUAUCCCUAAUCCACUUCAGCCCCCUCCACUUAUCCCUAAUCCAUUUCAGCCCCCACCAGCUCCAUUAAUCCCUAAUUUGCCCCCUCUUCCUGGUUCUCCACCAGCAGGUCCAGCACCAUUGAUUCCCAACCUGCCAAUUCCCAACCUGCCACCUAUAUCUGGUUUGACUCCAUCGCCGUCACCACCACCACCAAUCAUCCCACUCCUCCCUCCACUCCCCUUCCCACUGCCACCUGUGCCUCGGAUCCCCGGAAUUCCCCCAGCAGCUUCUUCAAAACAAAGUACUUCACCUUGAUUUAAAGUAAUUAAUAUAUUUAACUAUGAAACAUGUAU
RNAcentral lists this long non-coding RNA (700 nucleotides) under Malus domestica (apple). RNAcentral describes it as "long non-coding RNA (MDOM_LNC017218)". The record is from RNAcentral. Lineage: Eukaryota; Viridiplantae; Streptophyta; Magnoliopsida; Rosales; Rosaceae.